AGUGAACGCUGGCGGUAGGCCUAACACAUGCAAGUCGAACGGCAGCACAGUAAGAGCUUGCUCUUACGGGUGGCGAGUGGCGGACGGGUGGGGAAUACAUCGGAAUCUACUUUUUCGUGGGGGAUAACGUAGGGAAGCUUACGCUAAUACCGCAUACGACCUACGGGUGAAAGCAGGGGAUCUUCGGACCUUGCGCGAUUGAAUGAGCCGAUGUCGGAUUAGCUAGUUGGCGGAGUAAAGGCCCACCAAGGCGACGAUCCGUAGCUGGUCUGAGAGGAUGAUCAGCCACACUGGAACUGAGACACGGUCCAGACUCCUACGGGAGGCAGCAGUGGGGAAUAUUGGACAAUGGGCGCAAGCCUGAUCCAGCCAUACCGCGUGGGUGAAGAAGGCCUUCGGGUUGUAAAGCCCUUUUGUUGGGAAAGAAAAGCAGCAGGUUAAUACCCCGCUGUUCUGACGGUACCCAAAGAAUAAGCACCGGCUAACUUCGUG
Molecule: ribosomal RNA, 492 nt
Filed under: uncultured bacterium
Lineage: Bacteria
Description: partial 16S ribosomal RNA
Rfam family: Bacterial small subunit ribosomal RNA
Source: RNAcentral